RNAcentral lists this ribosomal RNA (406 nucleotides) under uncultured bacterium. RNAcentral describes it as "partial 16S ribosomal RNA". It matches the Rfam family "Bacterial small subunit ribosomal RNA", at positions 29 to 526 of the family's 1533-position model. The record is from RNAcentral.
AUUGAACGCUGGCGGCAGGCCUAACACAUGCAAGUCGAACGAGUGGCGGACGGGUGAGUAAUGUCUGGGAAACUGCCUGAUGGAGGGGGAUAACUACUGGAAACGGUAGCUAAUACCGCAUACCAUCGGAUGUGCCCAGAUGGGAUUAGCUAGUAGGGGGGGUAAAGGCUCACCUAGGCGACAAUCCCUAGCUGGUCUGAGAGGAUAACCAGCCACACUGGAACUGAGACACGGGCCAAACUCCUACGGGAGGCAGAAGUGGGGAAUAUUGGACAAUGGGCGAAAGCCUGAUGCAGCCAAGCCGCGUGUGUGAAGAAGGACUUCGGGUUGUAAAGUACGUUCAGAGGGGAGGCGUUACCCGCAGAAGAAGCACCGGCUAACUCCGUGCCAGCAGCCGCGGUAAUAC